GAUGAACGCUAGCGGCAGGCUUAAUACAUGCAAGUCGAGGGGCAGUCCCGCCUUCGGGCGGGAGCGACCGGCAAACGGGUGCGGAACACGUACAGAACCUUCCUUCGAGCGGGGAAUAGCCCAGAGAAAUUUGGAUUAAUACCCCAUAGCAUUAUGGAGUGGCAUCACUUUAUAAUUAAAGAUUUAUCACUUGAAGAUGGCUGUGCGGCUGAUUAGAUAGUUGGUGAGGAACGGCUCACCAAGUCUACGAUCAGUAACUGGUGUGAGAGCACGACCAGUCACACGGGCACUGAGACACGGGCCCGACUCCUACGGGAGGCAGCAGUAAGGAAUAUUGGUCAAUGGACGCAAGUCUGAACCAGCCAU
This 366-nucleotide ribosomal RNA is filed under the name uncultured bacterium. RNAcentral describes it as "bacterial SSU rRNA". It matches the Rfam family "Bacterial small subunit ribosomal RNA", at positions 28 to 395 of the family's 1533-position model. The record is from RNAcentral.